Molecule: signal recognition particle RNA, 266 nt
Filed under: Planctomycetota bacterium
Lineage: Bacteria; Pseudomonadati; Planctomycetota
Description: Planctomycetes bacterium (wastewater metagenome) signal recognition particle sRNA large type
Rfam family: Bacterial large signal recognition particle RNA
About the family: The signal recognition particle (SRP) is a universally conserved ribonucleoprotein involved in the co-translational targeting of proteins to membranes.
Source: RNAcentral
CCGUGCUAAACGGGGCAGUAGCGGUGUCUUGUAACCCACAACUCGCUAUAGUGGGGUUGAAGCUUUAAGAAGAUCUUUUCGUUUUUAGGAUUUUCUUAUAUAUUUGGUGCUUGAAGUGUUUGGUCCUUUACAAUAAGAAGCUUCCAAACCCAGCCAGGCGGGGAACCGAGCAACUGUAGGAACCUCGCUUAUGUGUGAGGGAGUGCUGAACAUUAGUCAAAUAUAUGUAGAUGCCUUCUAAUGAGAGUUCGAUGUAAGGUGCACGG